CUUGGUAUUGGUGUUUGCCUGUUUUGCCAUGCUAGAGUUCAGGAUCUAGUGCUGCUUUGAUGAAAUGGGGCUUGCUGCUGUCUUGAAUCAGAUGCUCAACUUGGACAAAGGCUGUCCUGGUUUAUGCCUCUAUGUGAAUAGACAUGAUACUACUCAGAAAUUAAAAUGUUCACAGUGCAAGAUCUUCGUUUCCCUAAAGGAAAGACUGAAGAAAUGAAUGAAGACAAGGUCUGUAUAAAGAGCUGAAACUAUGCCAAGAGGAAAUUGUGCUUUCCAAAGAAGUCCUCUGUGAUGGGAAAAACACAAAAUACCAGCUAAAUAAAUCAAAGUCCUAUUUCAAUGAGCCCAUCUGAACAAAAACUACAUGGGCCUUGAUUCAUUACCUAGGAAAGAUGAGCCGACUCCAUGGGGGUUUUUUCAAGGAUUUCAAACCUGAUUUAAAGGCUGACUGUUAUAUCUGAUUAUUAAUGUGUCUUGAUCAAGGAGAGAGUUAAAAGCAACUCUCUAUUUCCCUUAUCUUCUUUUCAGAAUAAAUAAAACAAUAUGUGCUCAAA
Antechinus flavipes (yellow-footed antechinus) is the source of this 554-nucleotide long non-coding RNA. RefSeq lists it as uncharacterized. The transcript is spliced from 2 exons. Lineage: Eukaryota; Metazoa; Chordata; Mammalia; Dasyuromorphia; Dasyuridae. The record is from RefSeq and is a predicted model, not a curated record.